This 482-nucleotide ribosomal RNA is filed under the name uncultured bacterium. Its description in RNAcentral is "partial 16S ribosomal RNA". It matches the Rfam family "Bacterial small subunit ribosomal RNA", at positions 30 to 507 of the family's 1533-position model. The record is from RNAcentral.
AUUGAACGCUGGCGGCAUGCUUUACACAUGCAAGUCGAACGGUAACAGGCCGCAAGGUGCUGACGAGUGGCGAACGGGUGAGUAAUGCAUCGGAACGUGCCCAGUCGUGGGGGAUAACUACUCGAAAGAGUAGCUAAUACCGCAUACGAUCUAUGGAUGAAAGCGGGGGACCGUAAGGCCUCGCGCGAUUGGAGCGGCCGAUGUCAGAUUAGGUAGUUGGUGGGGUAAAGGCUCACCAGGCCAACGAUCUGUAGCUGGUCUGAGAGGACGACCAGCCACACUGGGACUGAGACACGGCCCAGACUCCUACGGGAGGCAGCAGUGGGGAAUUUUGGACAAUGGGCGCAAGCCUGAUCCAGCAAUGCCGCGUGCAGGAAGAAGGCCUUCGGGUUGUAAACUGCUUUUGUACGGAACGAAACGGCUCUGGUUAAUACCCGGGGCUAAUGACGGUACCGUAAGAAUAAGCACCGGCUAACUACGUG